This 253-nucleotide ribosomal RNA is filed under the name uncultured bacterium. RNAcentral describes it as "partial 16S ribosomal RNA". It matches the Rfam family "Bacterial small subunit ribosomal RNA", at positions 524 to 776 of the family's 1533-position model. The record is from RNAcentral.
UACGUAGGGGGCAAGCGUUAUCCGGAUUUACUGGGUGUAAAGGGAGCGUAGGCGGCGAUGCAAGUCAGAAGUGAAAGCCCGGGGCUCAACUCCGGGACUGCUUUUGAAACUGUGUUGCUUGAUUGCAGGAGAGGUAAGUGGAAUUCCUAGUGUAGCGGUGAAAUGCGUAGAUAUUAGGAGGAACACCAGUGGCGAAGGCGGCUUACUGGACUGUAAAUGACGCUGAGGCUCGAAAGCGUGGGGAGCAAACAGG